CGGCUCCUGCUCGGGGUUUCCAGACACGGUUGGUCUCCAGAGUUCAAGUGUCCUUUGCAGGCGUUUGGCACUAGGAAUGCUGGUCUGAAAGGCCCGCUGGGAGGCUUCUGCCUUGGGCCCUUUGUGAACAAGUGAAACUGGACGAAGCACAAAGGAAAAGAAGAUUCACUAUCCAUCCACAUGCCCUGUUGGUCCUCACCCAGCGGAGUGACUGCCCUCUGACUGCCCCCGCCCUCGCCUAUGGAGUAGGGAUUCUUCCAGAAGCACUGAUCACAGGUGUGAAUGUUGGAAGAGCCUACUGGAGAUCACCCUUUGCACUUCUUGUUUUACUGAUGAGGAAAUCAAGGCUGGCGAAUAAUGCUGCCAAGUAUAGAAUGACCCUGCCAGGGUCACUGUGUAUUAAGAACUUUGGAACAGAGCCGGGCACAUUGACAGGACACUCAGCCAAUCAGGUGGAACACAUGACCCUGUCUAAGUAACUUUGGCCAUAGUCGUGUGAUAUGCUUUGGUUGGUGGAAUACGUGUGGAUAAGAGGCCCCGAGAGUGAAAGAACAAAUGCUUGUUUUUAACCAGAGGAAGUGAUCAAAGCAAAUGGUCUGGAUAAUAUGGCUGAAGCCAGUUGUGACACUAUGAGGACACUCAAGCUGCCCUGUCAAAACACCUGUGGUGAGGAACUGAGGCCUUUUGGCAACAGACAACACUAACUUGUUAACCAUCCAAACAAGCCACUGUAAAACAGCAUCUCCAGCCUGAAGAUGAUUGCAGCCUUGGACAAAAUCUUGACUGCAAACUGAUGAGAAGUCCUGAACCAGAACCACUCAGCUAAGGAUUUUGAAUUCCUGACUGACUAAAGUUCUUAUUGUUCUAAGCCAAUAUAUUUUGGAGUAAUUUGUCAUAUAUCAAUAGAUAAUGAAUAAAUUGAGUUUCACCAAAUUUAAGAUUUAUGUUUGACUAUUGUUCACAAUAUAGGCCAUUUGACAUAAAUCAAAUCUAAUUUAGCAGUC
Long non-coding RNA from Sus scrofa (pig), 1004 nucleotides. RefSeq lists it as uncharacterized. NCBI's taxonomy places the organism in Eukaryota, Metazoa, Chordata, Mammalia, Artiodactyla, Suidae. The record is from RefSeq and is a predicted model, not a curated record.